Molecule: unclassified non-coding RNA, 330 nt
Filed under: soil metagenome
Description: partial contains 5.8S ribosomal RNA, internal transcribed spacer 2, and large subunit ribosomal RNA
Rfam family: 5.8S ribosomal RNA (bases 1-120)
Source: RNAcentral
GAUGAAGAACGUAGCGAAAUGCGAUAAGUAAUGUGAAUUGCAGAUUUCAGUGAAUCAUCGAAUCUUUGAACGCACAUUGCGCCCCCUGGUAUUCCGGGGGGCAUGCCUGUUCGAGCGUCAUUUCACCACUCAAGCCUCGCUUGGUAUUGGGCAACGCGGUCCGCCGCGUGCCUCAAAUCGACCGGCUGGGUCUUCUGUCCCCUAAGCGUUGUGGAAACUUUCGCUAAAGGGUGUUCGGGAGGCUACGCCGUAAAACAACCCCAUUUCUAAGGUUGACCUCGGAUCAGGUAGGGAUACCCGCUGAACUUAAGCAUAUCAAUAAGCGGAGGA